This is a long non-coding RNA of Labrus mixtus (cuckoo wrasse), 907 nucleotides long. RefSeq lists it as uncharacterized. The record is from RefSeq and is a predicted model, not a curated record. Lineage: Eukaryota; Metazoa; Chordata; Actinopteri; Labriformes; Labridae. The transcript is spliced from 3 exons.
GUGUGAUACAGGUAUGAUAUAGGUGUGAUACAGGUGUUAGGUGUGAUACAGGUGUUAGUUGUGAUACAGGUGUUAGGUAUGAUACAGGUGUGAUACAGGUGUGAUACAGGUGUUAGAUGUGAUACAUGUGUUAGGUAUGAUACAGGUGUGAUACAGGUGUUAGGUAUGAUACAGGUGUUAGAUGUGAUACAGGUGUUAGAUGUGAUACAGGUGUUAGAUGUGAUACAGGUGUUAGAUGUGAUACAGGUGUUAGGUGUGAUACAGGUAUGAUAUAGGUGUGAUACAGGUGUUAGGUGUGAUACAGGUGUUAGUUGUGAUACAGGUGUUAGGUAUGAUACAGGUGUUAGAUGUGAUACAGGUGUUAGAUGUGAUACAGGUGUUAGGUAUGAUACAGGUGUGAUACAGGUGUUAGGUGUGAUACAGGUGUUAGGUGUGAUACAGGCGUUAGAUGUGAUACAGGUAUGAUACAGGUGUGAUACAGGUGUUAGAUGUGAUACAGGUGUUAGGUGUGAUACAGGUAUGAUACAGGUGUUAGAUGUGAUACAGGUGUUAGGUGUGAUACAGGUAUGAUACAGGUAUGAUAUCGGUGUGAUAAAGGUAUGAUACAGGUAUGAUACAGGUGUUAGGUGUGAUACAGGUAUGAUACAGGUGUUAGGUGUGAUACAGGUGUUAGGUGUGAUACAGGUGUGAUACAGGUGUUAGAUGUGAUGCAGGUGUUAGAUGUGAUACAGAUGUUAGGUAUGAUACAGGUAUGAUACAGGUGUGAUACAGGUGUUAGGUGUGAUGAAGGUAUGAUACAGCUGUUAGGUGUGAUACAGGUGUUAGGUGUAAUACAGGUGUGAUACAGGUGUGAUGCCAAUCUUAAAUCCUGUGUCAGAUGGAACUGUUUAUCCCUAUUCUGUUAAAA